Molecule: long non-coding RNA, 2184 nt
Filed under: Homo sapiens (human)
Lineage: Eukaryota; Metazoa; Chordata; Mammalia; Primates; Hominidae
Description: HSALNT0025247
Source: RNAcentral
GGGCGCUGCGGGCUUGGUGGGCGAGCAGACUUCAUUCACCUGCGGGGAAGACACGCCGGUGUCAGGGGCUGCAAGGCGGCGGGCUGCAGCGCCCAGGAGCUGGGUCAUACGUGCGCCACCAAGUACCCGCUCGAACCGCCCACGGGAGUCGGUUGGGGACCUCUCCAAGCCCUGCGGCCAAAUUGCCCUCCGUCUGUCUCGUUAAUUGUCCUUAAGUAAACGAGAGGCUCUCACGGCUCCAGCUAAACGAUCCGAGGUACUGCCCAGCAUUCAUGGGAAACCCUCCCCUUCGGCUUCACUCUGCCUAGAAGUGCAGGAAUGCGGCAAAAGUUACGGCCGCACGUCCUCUUGUCACGGCCACAUCCACAGAACUGGCAUUUUCUUCAGCCAAGUCAGUCCGUGCUCCCCCACGAGGAAAGCGAGGGAUACAAUCAGGGCUCGCGGCCGCUGCCGGGAAGGUGGGAGAGCCGAGCCGAGUCAGCUGUGGGAACUUGUCUCCUUCACCGAGCUUGGUAACUGAGUUCAAAGAAAUUCUCCCAAAAUAUAAAGAUCCAGACUCGGGGAGGAGCCUCGGCGUGUCGCCGAGCCAAUAUCCGCCGGCCCGUUUCGCCUGACAGUUGCGCGAGGGCCGGGAGAGGGGCGGCUCCGCGUGGCCCGGGAGCGGUCGGCGGUCACAGCGCGCGUGUGCGCCCGGGCGCAGCGCGGAGGAGCCUCGGGAACCUGCCGCCCUCGCCGCGCCGGCCGGGAUCCAUUUUAUGUGGCGGCGCUCGUGCCUGACAUUGCGAGGCCUGGAGCCGGGCUGGGGCUGGGGGCGGGGGAUCGUCGAUCUCGCCGCGUGCGGGGAAGUUCCUGGCGCGCGGCCCGGGCCCGGGGCUCUAAUGAAACGCCGCUGCGCGAGCCUGGAGCCCGGGGGCCGCGCGAGCGAGCGUGGCUGGACGGAAAUGCGGUGCCCCAGCCUCCCCCGCCCCCAAGUUCUUUCUCUUCCUGACAAGGCUUGCAGGUCUGUCUGUGAAACGCCGUGCAAAAGGGAUUGAGUCACAAACAAGUCCACAAACAUGCCGGGUCCUCCCCCCGCCCUUUGUUCUCGGAGAGCUGCCGGGCAAACCUUUUCUGGAAUUGCCCUACCGACCCCGGGCCGGCCGGGGGGCCACCCUCCCCGACCGCAGCCGCAGGACUAGGGCCCUUGGUCCCCCGCCCGCCCGAGCCCCGGUCUGUGAUGGACUAAGCCGCCCGGGGCUGGGACAGGUGAGCCUGGUGACCCAGCGGGCCGCUGCCGGGCAGGGGAAACUGAGGGCUUCGCCGCGCUGCACGCGGACGACUCUGGCCUGGAGAGGGGGUGUGGCGCGAGCUGGCCUUGGCCUCUCCUUGCGUGGGAUCGGGCCCCUCGCCCCCCGCCGCCCGUUUCUUCCUGCGCCUGGGCCCCGCGGGGUCUCCGGAGCACCCCGUCAUCGCUCCCUCUCCGAUCGCCCCCCGCCCCAGUCCCCCGGCGCAGCGCCCAGGAGCGCAGGAAGCCGGCGUAUGCCAGGCUCCACACGUGGCUGCUCUGGGGUGUCAUUUUUCAUUUCACGGGAGGACAUUUCUUCUGGUGAGCCAGCAGGUCUGUUUUGUUGUGACCUUUAAUUAACACCCCGCGAGACGCCUCUGGAAGGACUGGCCGGGCGCAGGGAUCACGUGGGGUGUAACGGCAUCUCCGCGCCCGCGGGGAGACCCAGCCCGGGGGUGGGCGAGGGCGCGAAGGACGUUCAGGGCUUUCUGGUCGCUGACUUCCUUCUGAGCUGUGGACGACGCAGGAGGGGGCAAGAAGACAAAGGUUCGGGGUUCUGGAAGCCUGGGGCCACGCCCCCACUCUGCCUUCCUCGGGGACAAUUUCUUCUGUGCCUCCCGUGCUCUGCCCCACUCCUCCCCGCUCCAGCUCCUGCGCGGGAAUAUUUCACAGCCACCAAAGCGAGGUAAAAAGGUCAAAAGGAAGAUGGCAAGAACAGAGUGGACGUUUCCGUUACGUUCCCACUUCCAAUUUAAAAGCGAUCCUAUCAAUAGGGGACCUUAGGGGGCAGGUACACCUCCAGGCAGCACGCGCCAGCUCCCACCCGCAUCUGUAUUUCGCGUAGGUGCCGCGAAACACAUCAUCGCCAUUGGCCACGAGCCGCUUAUCAGCCAAAAAGCAGCGUGUGGUGAAACGAGCCG